Molecule: long non-coding RNA, 2979 nt
Organism: Equus caballus (horse)
Lineage: Eukaryota; Metazoa; Chordata; Mammalia; Perissodactyla; Equidae
Source: Ensembl
GGCCGAGCGCCCACCGCGGCCGGAAAGAAGCCCUGCUCCUCCCCCGGCUCCGGCGCGGCGCGGGGCGGGGAGCCGAGGGGAGCGGAGGGGAGGGCGCAGGGAGGGCGCAGCGACGCCGCGCGGGCGCCAGGCCGGGUCCGCCGGCCUCUCCCCCUCCAGGCGGCCGCCCCGGGGCCGCGCGGCCCGGGCUGGGCUCUCCUCGACCUGCCGCCUCCCGGCCUUGUUGUCACCACUGCUCAGACCCUUCCUGCCCUUCCCGGCGCCUUCGCGCUCCUGGUCAGACACGCGUCCUCUCCCGGCCCCGCGGAAGAGCAGGGAGGCACAGCGAGGCUGAGCUGGUUGGAGGCGCACCGCUGGCAAGUGGAGGAGCGAGAGUCAAACCCAGGGCUCUUCCCCUCUCCCUCCAGUGUCCUCUCGCAGCCUUCCACAGGAGCCACCAUGUACAUACAGGCCCCAGACUGUACAAUGGAAAUAGGAAAGGGACGGGCGUUCCUCCUCGCUCACUCCGCAUCGCUUGUCUUACCCAAGGAGGAUUCUAACGCAAGGAGUGGUUCCCAGGCGGGAAAGAUGAUGAUGAGGAACAGAUAAUGGCCACAUUCACUGAGCACUCACAUAGUCACAAAGCUAAGCGAUUUAUAAGCACCUUUUUCAAGUUAAUCCUUUAAAUAACCCUGUGAUUUCAGUAAGAUAAUCAUCCCUGUUUACAGAUAAAAAAGCUGAGAUUUGGUUAAACACCAUGCCCUAGGUCCCAAAGCCGGUAGUGGUCAACCUGAGGAUGCAAACCCACUAGGGAGCUCCUGACCUGCCCUUUGGCCUUGAGAGUCUGUCUCACCACCCAGCGGCGCCUGUCCUCGAACUGAGACCUGCCAGCUGCGCAGCCCGGGGCCGGAUGUCCUGCUGUGAGAGAGUUACCUUGGGAAGUACCAACAGUGCUUCUCUCACUUUUCCAUAGUAACUCAUUUAGUCCUUGACAGGUCAGUGGACUGUGGACUAUUUGGGCCCCAUUUUACAGGUGGACAGGCUGAGGCACAGAGUGAGGUCACUGGCCCAAGGUACAAGCCACAGGACGAGCUGGGGCCCACAGCUGGUGAUCAAACCGCUCCACUCAUCGCUCUCCCGCAGACAUGGCGGUGACAGGCUUCCCUUCACCCUCUCGGUCAAAGGGGGGAAGUAGGUCCCGUUCAAUAGAUACUCUGCUCAGAAACAAGGUUCCAUUUGGGCUGAUUUUUUUUUUUUUUUUUUUUAAGGCAGAGGGUUCACUCUGGCAGCAACUUGGAAGAGCUUCUGCUUGAUCCGGCCUCAGAAGCCACUGAGAAGCUUCUGCUUUCGGGACUGGGCAAGAGGGCGGUGUAGACAUACGCUUUGCUACCGGUGCUGCUGGCGGCGGGAUCGCUCAGGGUGUCUGUUCCCAGCACAGCCUGUGCUGUGCCAUAGGAGGAUGGGAAGCCUCCAGCUUUGGUAAUGACAUCCUGCUGAGACAGGGAGUCUCCCGAUGCCAACAGAAAACGCCGCGAGAAGCUGCCAGGGUGGGGAUUUUCAGAAGGCAUCAAAGCUCGUCCUUCUCCAGCAUCUCAUUUUACUGUGACUCGAUUUUAAAGGGUCAAGUUUACAAUGCAUAUUUUCCUCUGUCACAAUCCAAACCUUUUCCUCUUCAGUUGUGAGCUCUAGCAAAAGGAAGGCGUCCACUGGGCCGGCCUCGUGGCCGAGUGGGUAAAGUUCCACACUCUCCAGUUCGGUGGCCCAGGUUCUCAGGCCUGGAUCCCGGGUGCAGACCUACUCCACUCAUCAGCUAUGCUGUGGAGGCAUCCCACAUACAAAAAAAAUGGAAGAAGAUUGGCACCAAUGUUAUCUCAGGGGUAAUCUUCCUCAAGUGGAAAAAAAAAAAACAAAGAGGAAAAUUGGCAAGGGUGUUAGCUCACGGAAAAUCUUCCUCACCAAAAAAAAAAAAAAAAAAAAAAAAAGGGAGUCCUGUCCCAUUACAGACCUGUGAGGUCCCAGGACCUGAACCUGAACAGCGACUCAUGCACUUCAUGGGACACACGGAGUGUUUUCCCACAUGUACCACAGACAGAUGCGCACAAAGAAUCCAGGAACUCCGUUUCCUCAGAGCCAACGCUGUCUUCCUAGGGUAUCUUCCUGCCUUCCUCAGUAAUGACUGGGAGCUGUUUCCUCUCCUGGGAGAAGGAGAAAAACCUACAUUGUUGAAUGCCUUUAAUGGGCCAUGUCCCAUGUGAGAUGCUUUCAAAGGAUUGUCACGCUUAUUCCUCGGAGAAUUGUCUCACUCUCUUCACAGAAGUCUUUUGCCUUGGGAGUUAUUUCUAUUGUUCAGACUCAGAGAGGUUAAGCAACUUAUUCAAGGUCAGACAGCUAAAGGAUGAAACCAGGAUUCAAACUCAGGUCUUUUUGACCACAUGCCUACCACCUCUGUGGGCCUUCUCAAACCUCUAGCCCAGAAAAUAAUUUUGCCCCACUCUUCUCCUCCACAUGCCAUGCACAAGAUGUUCUUAGCUUCUUCUGAAAAGCUGAGUUAUGAAGACAAAAGAAAGGCCCUUCUUUACAACUGGGACAAAUAAGACUUCCACUACUUCAAGAGUUGAUGUGAGAUCCCAAACUCAUCUUCAGACUCUCUUUUCCCCAACUUCUGCUUUCCACGAAAUCUGAACUGCCAUGUGGAAGGGUGUCAUCACAUUGGUGACAUCCUGUAACAUUUCGUGGAUUUCUGGUUCAGAUUUUUUGUUUCAACGACGACCUUGUGACUGAUGCAGUCAGUGAAUGUCACAGGCCAUAUCAAAGCGUUUCCUCAUGUAUUUCAUUAUUGAAAUCGAAUCUCAACUAUGGAGUCACGUUAGAAGCAUCUCAACUUUCAUUCAUUCAGACAAAUUCAUUUAGCGAUCAUCCCAUAGUUUGUAACUUUUACUACACUUUGUGCUUUGUGUCUUCUAAAGGGUUUUCUAACUAAAGACAGCAUUUUAACUUUUU